RNAcentral lists this ribosomal RNA (97 nucleotides) under Caulerpa macrodisca. RNAcentral describes it as "partial 26S ribosomal RNA". Lineage: Eukaryota; Viridiplantae; Chlorophyta; Ulvophyceae; Bryopsidales; Caulerpaceae. The record is from RNAcentral.
AUCUUAGAUUAGAUUAUCUUCUAGGAAACCAACUCAACUUAACUUAUCAAACCCAAGGAAAAAAAAAAAAGGGGGGGGAGUGAGAAGGGGGCGCGGG